UGAUCCUAGCUAGGGAGUUGUUAGGCCAAACUUAAAUGUCUCCAACUUCAUAGGACCUGUGAGAGUUUGUGCUUGAAUAGCCUUUAAAAACACUUCAAAGUGACUCUGACACAAUGUGGACUCCAUGGGGAACUCAAGCAGGAGGAAAGGUUAUGUUUAAAAAGUCCCCUGCCUCCUUGUGACUACAAAUACUCCUCUCUACAUUGGAACCUGGAAUUGAAUAAUAUGCAAUGGAAUUGCCAAACAUCACUUGGACCUGUGCCCAGUAUUACCUCAAGAGUCUUCUGUAAUAUCUUUUUGAUGAUGGAGUCAGAAAUAAACCACUGGAACCUUGUGUAAAAGAAAGCUAAACUUUUCAGGCCACCAGUGAUUCAAUUUCACAAAAGCAUCUUUGGUAUUUGCAUAUACAGAUUGAAUUAUUUAUAAUUAACUUCCCAAAUCAUGUACUCCAACAGCCUUCUAAUUCCCUUGGUCUUCUGCCUCAUUGAAAAGUUCAGUCACAUUUGACAACUCCAAUCUGGCAUUUUAAAUGUGACAAGCCUAGCCACUACACUCAUUCUUCAAAUGACUUAGGCAAAGUGACACUCACUAAAACCUUCCACC
Molecule: long non-coding RNA, 603 nt
Filed under: Monodelphis domestica (gray short-tailed opossum)
Lineage: Eukaryota; Metazoa; Chordata; Mammalia; Didelphimorphia; Didelphidae
Description: lncRNA (ENSMODG00000033301.2)
Source: RNAcentral